Bombyx mori (domestic silkworm) is the source of this 74-nucleotide non-coding RNA. The record is from Rfam. NCBI's taxonomy places the organism in Eukaryota, Metazoa, Arthropoda, Insecta, Lepidoptera, Bombycidae.
UUAACUGAAAUUUGUAUGGAGUUGGAACGUUUGCUGCUAGGGGCGCUGUUCCAACUGGGUACAAAUUUGAGUUA